AUUUCGCGCUAUUUCUUGUUUCUGCACUCGCUUUGAACUUUGGCUUUAACAGCAGUUAUCGACUUAGCUGUAUUACAUAGUGUACUUGGUACAUAAUUGAUCAAAAGGGCUCGUGUUACUUUAACAUCACUUUUGAAUUUCACGAAAGCAGAUAAAAGUUUUAGUGACGCUGCAGAAAAUAGAUUGAAGAAACUCCGGAAUACUCAAUACUGUGGAUUGGGAGGAGGAGAAAGUGAUAAUCCUGUUAUAUGGACUGUUUCUAGGACACGAUAAACUUCCUAAUAAGUUAACAACUCUACCUCGAUUCGAUGCAGUGGGAGAGGUUGAAGUUGACGUUUAAGCAGUCACCCUGCCGAACAAAAAAUCUUUCAGGCCAAGAGGCUAGGUGACUAGAAACUCAAUCACUAUAUCCGUGAAACUUGUCUGGAGCACUGUUAUGUGUGGAGGUCGGACCGAAACUAAUCAGACACUAAACAUUAACGAGGACCAAUUAUUUUACUCCUUUAAUGAUGAAUAAUUAUAAAGAUCGCUGAUUGCUUUUACUAAUAUAUAGUGUUAAAAUGAAAGAGAAACUGUUGAGACAAAAGAGAAAAACGCACUCAUUUAUUUAUAGUUUUAUGUCUUAACAAUGUUAUUCGAAAGCUAAUUUUAAAAGCUGGCUCUAAUUCCUUGCUAAAUGAUUUGGGAAGGUGUAAGGGCUAAACAUGCCUGUAGACAUCAUUUUCAGUGGGUUUUAUGAAGUUUAUGAUUAGGGUAUAUUUUGGGACUGAAAUAAGCGCAAGACCUUCGACGUUUCUAUUCCUACUGUUUUUUUAAUUUAGCAAAUAUACCAAAAAAAAUUAUACUGUCGUAAAGAUAAAAUGUUUAGUUAUCGGAUAGAUACUUUAAAAUUAAGUAUUAAAAUAACCGAGCUAAGAUAUUCAAUGUUAAACUCAAAAAUGUUCACGCGUUUAUGAAGAAAUAUUUAA
Molecule: long non-coding RNA, 968 nt
Organism: Bolinopsis microptera
Lineage: Eukaryota; Metazoa; Ctenophora; Tentaculata; Lobata; Bolinopsidae
Exons: 4
Source: RefSeq, a predicted model, not a curated record